RNAcentral lists this ribosomal RNA (492 nucleotides) under uncultured bacterium. RNAcentral's name for it is "partial 16S ribosomal RNA". It matches the Rfam family "Bacterial small subunit ribosomal RNA", at positions 28 to 507 of the family's 1533-position model. The record is from RNAcentral.
GACGAACGCUGGCGGCGUGCUUAACACAUGCAAGUCGAACGGAAAGGCCCCCACUUUUUUGGUGGGGGUGCUCGAGUGGCGAACGGGUGAGUAACACGUGGGUGAUCUGCCCUGUACUUCGGGAUAAGCUUGGGAAACUGGGUCUAAUACCGGAUAGGACCAUGGUUUAGUGUCUCAUGGUGGAAAAAUUAUUGUUUUGGUGCAGGAUGAGCUCGCGGCCUAUCAGCUUGUUGGUGGGGUAAUGGCCUACCAAGGCGUCGACGGGUAGCCGGCCUGAGAGGGUGGACGGCCACAUUGGGACUGAGAUACGGCCCAGACUCCUACGGGAGGCAGCAGUGGGGAAGAUUGCACAAUGGGCGCAAGCCUGAUGCAGCGACGCCGCGUGGGGGAUGACGGCCUUCGGGUGGUAAACUCCUUUCGUUAGGGACGAAGCCGCACCUUUUUGGGGUGUGGUGACGGUACCUUUGUUAAGAAGCACCGGCUAACUACGUG